UAAUUAGUAGUGAAGCUUGUGGAACGACGCUUUGGCUGAGAGGAAAGAAAAUAUGAACAAAAUCCAGAAAAUCAAAAGAGGAAAACGGCCGCAUGAGAGGAAAAAAUAGGGAACAAAAUGCAGAGGACCAAAAGAAGAAAAAGGGGACUGCAGGGGAAGGGGAGGGAUCAAGGGGGCCAAGCACGGAAGAACCAAAGGGUACGACGACGCCGAAUGUUUGAGCUUUUAAUCUUAUCAUUUUCUAAUUUUUUUUUUUUUUGUUUAUACCCUCACGGAUCAGACAUUAUAUUUGUAUAACAACAAAAAAAUUCAUUUUUCAUUCAUAACUCAUUUUUUAUAUUACAUUUGGAUAAUGAUUAUAACGUAAAGAUGAAAGAAAUACCUUAAUCAUU
RNAcentral lists this long non-coding RNA (392 nucleotides) under Cicer arietinum (chickpea). Its description in RNAcentral is "long non-coding RNA (CARI_LNC002752)". The record is from RNAcentral. Lineage: Eukaryota; Viridiplantae; Streptophyta; Magnoliopsida; Fabales; Fabaceae.